Molecule: long non-coding RNA, 1610 nt
Organism: Esox lucius (northern pike)
Lineage: Eukaryota; Metazoa; Chordata; Actinopteri; Esociformes; Esocidae
Source: Ensembl
CGUUGCGACAACAAGAAAACGUUCACAUUUCCGGUUGUGACAACGUAGCUGACAACGUUGCUACCUAAUUCGGUCGCCAGAUAACGUCGUAACAACAUUGGGACAACGGAAAAUUGUUAGCUGGGGUCUGGCAGCCUGUGGAGAAGACACGUCUUUUGGCACCAGGGUUUUAACAGCAGUGAUACAGAGGACAACCAACCACAGGAGCCACAACACCUAGUUUGAAUGCAUGCUGGGAAAUGCUGCUAGCAUAACAAGCCCUCCUCUAAUAGUACACAUACACAAACUACAAGACACAAACACACACACAUCAUUACCUUCUAUCUUAAUGAGGACAUCAAAAGUUUUCCCAGGAACAGUCUGAUAUGCCAUGAUUUCAAUGAGCCAAAGGCCAAAACCGCAUGAAAAUACGCUUUAAGUUAUCGAUGUUCCUAAAAUUUCAACAAUUUCCAGAGAAAAGCUUUGAACAAUUUGUUACAUUUAUUGUAAUUGAAGCGAUUAUAUAUUUGCAGUUAUCCAGUUUUGGAUGAUUUGUAGUCUCUCUUUAGUAAGUGAAUGCGUGUUUCCAGCAUCCCUAAAAGCCUUAAGUAUUUUCCAUAGCAACAAUAGGAAUAUGUGUUGUUGUUUUUCUCCAAGAGACAUUCAUGUCUGUCAGAUAUUCACAGAAACCAGUCAAAAGUGCACACUCUCUGAUUUGGCCCAAUACCACCAAUUACCAGGAGGAAGGUACCAGGGCUGUGUAGCCCCUGAAUUACUCUAUUAGCCAUAGUGGUUCUGUGCUGGAAGAGAAUUUGCUUUUGAAUCAGAAAUGGCACCCCGUUAUUUGGUUAGUUCAAACCCUUCAUAUUCCAGGAGGUUCCUGGUGAGUAUUGCUUAUUGUGUUGUUUUAUUGAAGAGGAGUAUUAGCUGGUAGAUAGUUUAAAAGUAAUAACGGUUGGGUCAGUCUCUGAAUGGUCGCUGCUUUGAAUUCCUGGGGAACAGGUAGCCUAGCAGUUAACGCAUUUGACCAGUAAAGAAAAAGUUGGUGGAUGUAAUAAAUAUUUAGUUCUGCACCUCAGCAAGACAGUUCACCCCAAGUGCUCCGCUAAGUCGCUCUGGACAAGACCUUAAUUGCUCUUAUAAGUCACUCUGGUUAGGACAUCGGCAAACAACCAAGCCAAUUUGGGAAACAACACGCAUAACAAGAUACCCGUGUGUUCUCAACCCAGCGUAUUCUCAACGCAGCGUGUUCUCAACGCAGCGUGUUCUCAACGCAGCGUGUUCUCAACCCAGCGUGUUCUCAACCCAGCGUGUUCUCAGUCCGGUGAAUGAUCCCAACUGGAGCCGAUGCUCUGACUUGCAGAGUGAAGAAAAAAACAUCCACUGACCAUUGAACAUGAUGUGCUGCUUGGCAGAGAAGGAAAGGCUGGAGGGAGUGUAAGGUCACAGAAUAUGUCAAAACCCAGCCGAUGUUUGGUAAUCUCAGGACAAAAAUCUUUGAGAAUAUGUACAGAGUGACAUUAAUUGCAGAACAUCAUACUUGUGACAAUGUAUUUAUCUAAAAAGAAUUUGAGACAAUGUCUUAUUUUAUAGCCUGCAAUUGUCUUGUUUGCUCAUAUGUUGUUGCAAAG